GUCAUACAAGGAUCAGACAUAAUUUGUCAUGUAUAGAUGUUAUAUGGAAAUCCAACAAACAAAAUUUCCCAUUGAUGAAAUUAUUUGAGAAAACAGUGCGCUCCUCGACAUCUACCGCAGCUCAAUUGAUGCAACGAAUACAGAUCCCAAGAGCCCGCAGGAUAGCAGCCCAACAAAUUCAAGUGGAUGUGCGAAAACAUGCAUGUAAAACCAACACAGGACUGUCACUGUUACAUCCCAGAAAAUUUUGAGUUGGGGAUACAGCAGGUAAUGGGAGCUAUAGGGCAAGCCAAAUCGUCACUCUAAUUUUUUGCGCGAACUGCGGCACGCCACAUUGAAGCAGGGUUUCUUUCUAGAGGAACCAAGGGACGGACCCCGUGCAAUACAUCGAAGAACAAGAUGAUCGAGGGCUAGUUGAACAAUAUAGACAUCUUUCAAGACAAACCUGUUGGUGCUCUUCCGAAAUACCCAGAGCGAGAGGGGAGCUAAGGCGUCCCUUUGAGCACCGGGGAGGUUGCCACGGAGCCAUCAGAAGUGACAAGCAAACGCCUUCAAGCCAGAACACCAAUCCAACAGGUCACCAGCAGAUUCAUAACACAUGGGGCAAAAGCUUUUUGUCAAGUAUAUCGUCGAUUCUGAUCCACCUACUCUGUUGUUUGAUGAGUGGAUAGACAUCAGCAAGGAUUCAGAUUACAAAACUGUAUAUAGUACAUGUUAAAGAAGAUAGACGUGAUGAUUACCCGUUGCACAUAGGAGCGUCCUAAAACCUGAUCAAGAUACUGUC
This 784-nucleotide long non-coding RNA is filed under the name Hordeum vulgare. RNAcentral's name for it is "long non-coding RNA (HVUL_LNC021163)". The record is from RNAcentral. Lineage: Eukaryota; Viridiplantae; Streptophyta; Magnoliopsida; Poales; Poaceae.